UACGCGGUGUCCGACCUGCAGGUGGGC
RNAcentral lists this non-coding RNA (27 nucleotides) under Homo sapiens (human). Lineage: Eukaryota; Metazoa; Chordata; Mammalia; Primates; Hominidae. The record is from RNAcentral.